RNAcentral lists this ribosomal RNA (253 nucleotides) under uncultured bacterium. RNAcentral's name for it is "partial 16S ribosomal RNA". It matches the Rfam family "Bacterial small subunit ribosomal RNA", at positions 524 to 776 of the family's 1533-position model. The record is from RNAcentral.
UACGGGGGGGGCAAGCGUUGUUCGGAAUUACUGGGCGUAAAGGGCUCGUAGGCGGACAACUAAGUCAGACGUGAAAUCCCUCGGCUUAACCGGGGAACUGCGUCUGAUACUGGAUGGCUUGAGUUUGGGAGAGGGACGCGGAAUUCCAGGUGUAGCGGUGAAAUGCGUAGAUAUCUGGAGGAACACCGGUGGCGAAGGCGGCGUCCUGGACCAACACUGACACUGAUGAGCGAAAGCCAGGGGAGCAAACGGG